GCCUGGGUGGCUCAGUCGGUUGAGCGUCAGACUUGGGCUCAGGUCAUGAUCUCACCAUUUGUGAGUUUGAGCCCCACGUCAGGCU
Felis catus (domestic cat) is the source of this 85-nucleotide non-coding RNA. The record is from Rfam. Lineage: Eukaryota; Metazoa; Chordata; Mammalia; Carnivora; Felidae.